RNAcentral lists this long non-coding RNA (218 nucleotides) under Elaeis guineensis (African oil palm). RNAcentral describes it as "long non-coding RNA (EGUI_LNC069706)". Lineage: Eukaryota; Viridiplantae; Streptophyta; Magnoliopsida; Arecales; Arecaceae. The record is from RNAcentral.
AUGAUGUCAAACUUGAAACCUAUUGUAGAGGUACCGUUAAGGAGAUCCGAUAGAGUAUCACAUCAAUUGGACAGAUACUAUGGUUUCUUGGUCCAGGAUGGGGAUCCUAUUGAACUCGAUGAGAAUAAUGAGGAUCCGAUCAUCUAUAUGGAUACAAUGCAGAGGUCUGACUCUGAUAAAUGGUUUGAAGUCAUAAAAUCUGAAAUGAAGUCUAUGAA